UACGUAGGGUGCAAGCGUUAAUCGGAGUUACUGGGCGUAAAGCGUGCGCAGGCGGUUUUGUAAGUCUGUCGUGAAAGCCCCGGGCUCAACCUGGGAAUUGCGAUGGAGACUGCAAGGCCUGAAUCUGGCAGAGGGGGGUAGAAUUCCACGUGUAGCAGUGAAAUGCGUAGAGAUGUGGAGGAACACCGAUGGCGAAGGCAGCCCCCUGGGUCAAGAUUGACGCUCAUGCACGAAAGCGUGGGGAGCAAACAGG
RNAcentral lists this ribosomal RNA (253 nucleotides) under uncultured bacterium. RNAcentral's name for it is "partial 16S ribosomal RNA". It matches the Rfam family "Bacterial small subunit ribosomal RNA", at positions 524 to 776 of the family's 1533-position model. The record is from RNAcentral.